Chrysemys picta bellii (western painted turtle) is the source of this 1804-nucleotide long non-coding RNA. NCBI's taxonomy places the organism in Eukaryota, Metazoa, Chordata, Testudines, Emydidae. The record is from Ensembl.
CCGCGCGGGAGUGGAGAGGUGCGAGCAGCCCGGCCCGGGCCGCACGGGGCCCCCAGCGGCGGGAAUCCCCCCCUCGCUGCCUGCGAGCCCCUGCGCCGCCGGACCAGCCUCCCAGGAGCGGCCCGGGGGCCGCGAUCCGCUCUGACGGCACCGGGGGAGGCUGGGCGCAGGCAGGCGCCCUCCCCUGGGACGCAGCGAGAUGCCCAGAUAAGUCCCUGCGCGUCGCCCCAGCCUCUCCAGAUGCCUGGAGAAGAGGGAGACAUGAGGUUGCCUGUGGGGGAAGUUGCCUUUAAAUGGGAGAAACUCCUCCAGCCGGAUGCUUCGAAGGCUGCGUCUGUCACCCCGGAGAAGAUAGGAGCCAGGCCCUCCCGGCUUUGCCACCUCUGCUUCCUUAAUAGGGACAGCCCCAAUUCCUGUCUCGAAAUUCCUACCAUGUUACACCCUCCGGCUCUCCAAAAAGCGCUUCCAGUCCCAUGGGGUUAGGGGCGUUAGAAACAAAAAACCAGCAGUUGCUGAUAGUUGAGGAGUAAAGGCAUGUCCGGACAGCCCAGGCAGGAUUUAAAAUACAAGGUUUCUGCUACCCUGGCUGCAUACUCGCUAUCAAAUUCCCCCAAGGGAGAGAAAGCAAGCAAACGCCUUAGAGUUAUCUACGAAAUUCACAAAAAGUCACUUCUUUGUAAAUUAUUAUGUGCCAGGAAAACAUCAAGAGAAAUAGUCUCAAGAACACAGGCAAAGGAAUCUGGGAGAAGGAAUAUGGGUCUUCAAAACAAAUGCUGUAGUGCUAUAGGCAGUAAAUCUCAUUAACGGGACUUUGUGUCAAGGCAGAAACCAGUAUAGUGACAAUAAUAAUCCCAUUUAUUUACAUAGCGCCAAAUAUAUCGUUGCCACUUUCCGAUAAAACAAAGGCAGAUUCCUCAAUGGCAGAGGGCGGAUCGAAGGACCCAAUCAGUUUCUUCCAUCCCUAACUUCUGUGAAUCUCAGAUAAAUAUACCACUUUGGAGAGAGGGGAGUGGGGGAAUCUCCGAUCUCCAUUAGACACUCAGCUCCAAGUUAGAGACAACAAGCGUUUCCCCUUCAGGCCCCAGAGGAAGGAAAUCAAUGCAUCUGCAGAGAAAGAAGAAGCCAUUGAGUUGUUUUGAAUGAAAAUGUGAUUGGGUUGUGGGGUUUUUUAGAGGAUUGAUCUAAAAGGAGAGUGAGGAGACAAGAAAGGGAGACAGAAGACAUUGGCCUGCUGCUGUCUGACUGGCAGAUUCCAGUUAACACCUUAUCAGCAGAGCAGCAGGCAGCAGCAAAUCCUCGCCCGCUGAAGCUACACAGCGAAAGGAAGAGGGGAGGGUGUUCUGUAACCAGGGACGACAACAGCAACACUCCACAGAGCUACCGGGAGGAUAGAGAGAGAGACACACACACAAUAACCUUCCUUCCCAGGCUGUGCAAGCAAGGGCAGGGGAGGAAAAACAAAUCCACCUGCAGUGUUUCAUUUUUUAUGAAGAGAAACCAUGACUGAAAUGUAACCACAGCUCUGGUCGCUGUAAAAAAACCGAACCCCAAAGCCCUCUCCCCAAGUGUAAUGUAGCAAUUCUGUUGGUUAGCGUUAUUCUUCAAUUGAAGAGUGGGGUAAACUCCUCCAGGACUGAAAUCCCAUCUCCCAGAAGGUGGGAGCACCACUAAAACAAAAGCAAUUCUUCCCUCUCCCCCUUACUCCAUUGCUGCUGCUGCUUUUGUGUUUUUUAAAGAAACAUUGUUCUAGGAAGGAGAGGAGAUUGGAAGAAGAACCCGAGGUGAUUUUGAAUUGUUUUUAAAG